This is a long non-coding RNA of Rhinolophus ferrumequinum (greater horseshoe bat), 1307 nucleotides long. RefSeq lists it as uncharacterized. The transcript is spliced from 6 exons. The record is from RefSeq and is a predicted model, not a curated record. Lineage: Eukaryota; Metazoa; Chordata; Mammalia; Chiroptera; Rhinolophidae.
GACGUAGACCCGAGAGGGCCCCGCUUCGCAGGCGGCGGUGCAUGGCGCCAGGGCCAUGUCCUCCGGUCCGCCGCUGGGCGCAGGCGCGUACUUGCGGCGCAGGGAGCGGCUGACGGUCUGUGUCGGAUACCCCAGCAGCCAGGUCGCUGCAGGCCCCUCCUCCGACCCUGCCGCCAUUGCUGUAGCCAAAGGUACCACAGGUGCCACCGCCAGCACCGGCUCCCCCGCAGCAGCAGCAGAUGAGUCCCCAGAUGCCCACCAGCAGGCAGCCCAGCGCGAGCAAAGAGCCCAGCACUGCGCCGAUGAUCACGCCUACACGUCGGGAGUCUGUGAAGAGAAAGAGGCACCAGUCAGGUUCUCUGCCGCCUGGCAGGUGCCUGGCUAAUCAGGAGGUCACCAUUGUUCAGCAGACCUGAAACUGAAGGAGCAGCAGAGGGCUGUAGUGAGGCAGAGAGACCUGGUAUCUGAGAGCUCCACCCCCAGCGUCAAGUGCUGUAGGGUGGGUGAUGGAAGGAGGGACACUUCAUAUGCACACACACACCCAGGUCCACUCCACACUCCAGGUUCAUGAGGUUGAUGGAGGCAUCAUACUGGCUGGGAUCUGAGGCUGCAAAGCGGACCCUCUGCUGCAAAUGGGGGAGGUUGCCAUGGUUGAUCCUCUUGUCCUGGUAACUAAGGAACUGUGAAGAAGAGAAGAAAACAGCUGGUGAGACAGCAGAGCCAAGGAAGGUCAUGUGGAUUGGCUGCCUUGGGCAAUUCAUCCAACUCUGAGACUCACUUUUCUCAGCUGAAAAUGAGAAUGAUGAUCCCUGACCCACUGACUUCUUACAAAAUGGGUGGGAUCAGAUAAGACCAAGUAUUUUGGAAAGCAUAAGAUCAGGCUGGGAACUUCUUGAAGGCAGGUGCCAUCCCUUUGGAGUAACUGCAGAGCUCUCAUUCCCUAUUGCUCCGUUCCACGAGAGGCCAUGGGGGAAGUUCAAGGUCUUGGUUUCCUUAUUUGCCCUCCUCCCCUCAGAGUGUUGGCUGCCCACCAGGUAGACACCAUGGAGUAAGAGAUCCUGGGGCAGCAUAAGGCAAACCAGGGAUGAGCCAGAACUCAGCAGACAGCAGAAGCUCCACCCUGAGGAAGGUCUCCUGUAAGCAACCCACAAACAGAGGAAUCUCUUCACAUCCAGGGGAGUGAGCAGCGGACCCCUGGAAUGGUCAUGCAGAGAAAGCCUGAGGAACGGUGUGGGAGGAGGAGUCAUGAACAGCACGGAAUUGGCAACUUGCUAAGUCUCAGAGAGGACAGACAAGGCACUAUGAGG